GCUGAUUCCCUGAGACCCUAACUUGUGACUAUUUAUUAGAGUUUCACAAGUUUUGUUCUCCGGUAUUGG
RNAcentral lists this microRNA precursor (69 nucleotides) under Phlebotomus papatasi. RNAcentral describes it as "lin-4 microRNA precursor". It matches the Rfam family "lin-4 microRNA precursor family", at positions 1 to 71 of the family's 80-position model. From Rfam's summary of the family: The extents of the hairpin precursors are not generally known and are estimated based on hairpin prediction. The products are thought to have regulatory roles through complementarity to mRNA. The involvement of Dicer in miRNA processing suggests a relationship with the phenomenon of RNA interference. Lineage: Eukaryota; Metazoa; Arthropoda; Insecta; Diptera; Psychodidae. The record is from RNAcentral.